AGCAGCCGCGGUAAUUCCAGCUCCAAUAGCGUAUAUUAAAGUUGUUGCAGUUAAAAAGCUCGUAGUUGAAUUUCGGGGUUAGUAGGUUGGUCAUGCCUCUGGUAUGUACUGGUCUCACUGAUUCCUCCUUCCUGAUGAGCCGUAAUGCCAUUAAUUUGGUGUUGCGAGGAAUUUGGACUGUUACUUUGAAAAAAUUAGAGUGUUUAAAGCAAGCUAACGCUUGAAUACAUUAGCAUGGAAUAAUGAAAUAGGACGUUCGAUCCUAUUUUGUUGGUUUCUAGGAUUGACGUAAUGAUUAAUAGGGAUAGUUGGGGGCAUUAGUAUUCAAUUGUCAGAGGUGAAAUUCUUGGAUUUAUUGAAGACUAACUACUGCGAAAGCAUUUGCCAAGGAUGUUUUCAUUAAUCAAGAACGAAAGUUAGGGGAUCGAAGACGAUCAGAUACCGUCGUAGUCUUAACCAUAAACUAUGCCGACUAGGGAUCGGAUGAUGUUAAUUUUUUAAUGACUCAUUCGGCGCCUUA
Molecule: unclassified non-coding RNA, 520 nt
Filed under: uncultured Glomus
Lineage: Eukaryota; Fungi; Glomeromycota; Glomeromycetes; Glomerales; Glomeraceae
Description: SSU rRNA
Rfam family: Eukaryotic small subunit ribosomal RNA
Source: RNAcentral